GGGCAGCUGUUUGAACAGGGUGUAGGAUGGGCAUUACUCUGGCUCCCAGAUAUACACAUGCAGUUGGUAUACAGCUGUAUCCACAAAGAAAGCAAAAGGAAAUAUUAUUGUUGUUGUCUGUUCUGAGAAAUUGAAAUACAACAUUAUGCUUUGG
Long non-coding RNA from Etheostoma cragini (Arkansas darter), 154 nucleotides. RefSeq lists it as uncharacterized. NCBI's taxonomy places the organism in Eukaryota, Metazoa, Chordata, Actinopteri, Perciformes, Percidae. The transcript is spliced from 3 exons. The record is from RefSeq and is a predicted model, not a curated record.